Molecule: ribosomal RNA, 159 nt
Filed under: Zizia aurea (golden alexanders)
Lineage: Eukaryota; Viridiplantae; Streptophyta; Magnoliopsida; Apiales; Apiaceae
Description: partial 5.8S ribosomal RNA
Rfam family: 5.8S ribosomal RNA
About the family: 5.8S ribosomal RNA (5.8S rRNA) is a component of the large subunit of the eukaryotic ribosome.
Source: RNAcentral
GACUCUCGACAACGGAUAUCUCGGCUCUCGCAUCGAUGAAGAACGUAGCGAAAUGCGAUACUUGGUGUGAAUUGCAGAAUCCCGUGAACCAUCGAGUCUUUGAACGCAAGUUGCGCCCGAAGCCACUAGGCCGAGGGCACGCCUGCCUGGGUGUCACGC